CGGUGCUUGAUAUCGCUCACAUAAUUCUAGUAAGACAAACUAAAGCUAAACUGAUUUGAUAGCUUCGUUAUUCAGAGAUGACACCGGCGAACAGCGCUUUACGGAAAUCAAGUAUUUCAAGGAUAUGUAAAGCAUAAGUGAAGAGACAGAGAUAGACAGCUACACUGCUGAGUGAACCAAAGUCAGGCUGAACUGAGCAGAAUGGAGUCAAGUGCAAUACAAUAUGCAAAAUCAGUCUUAUGUAUUGUGGCACCCCUGAUGAAAUCAUAGACGACGAAACGCGUUGGAUGAUAUAAUCUCUGGAGUAACAAAUAAAAGGAAAAAAAGAUGUCUACCAAUCAUUUGUUUAAAAACUGGAUUGUACCUGCAUAUCAAUCAUUGUCUUGGUAUAAGGUUUUAAGAUGAACGAUUUUAAGAAAGCAUUUUAAUAAA
This is a long non-coding RNA of Pseudophryne corroboree (corroboree frog), 432 nucleotides long. RefSeq lists it as uncharacterized. The record is from RefSeq and is a predicted model, not a curated record. The transcript is spliced from 3 exons. NCBI's taxonomy places the organism in Eukaryota, Metazoa, Chordata, Amphibia, Anura, Myobatrachidae.